UAACCAGACUCCUACGGGAGGCAGCAGUGGGGAAUAUUGCACAAUGGGGGAAACCCUGAUGCAGCAACGCCGCGUGAGUGAAGAAGUAUUUCGGUAUGUAAAGCUCUAUCAGCAGGGAAGAAGAUGACGGUACCUGAUUAAGAAGCCCUGGCUAACUACGUGCCAGCAGCCGCGGUAAUACGUAGGGGGCAAGCGUUAUCCGGAUUCACUGGGUGUAAAGGGAGCGUAGACGGCCAUGCAAGCCUGGAGUGAAAGCCCAGGGCCCAACCCCGGGACUGCUCUGGGAACUGUGCGGCUGGAGUGCGGGAGGGGCAGGCGGAAUUCCUGGUGUAGCGGUGAAAUGCGUAGAUAUUAGGAGGAACACCAGUGGCGAAGGCGGCUUACUGGACUGUAAAUGACGCUGAGGCUCGAAAGCGUGGGGAGCAAACAGGAUUAGAUACCCCUGUAAG
Molecule: ribosomal RNA, 449 nt
Filed under: uncultured bacterium
Lineage: Bacteria
Description: bacterial SSU rRNA
Rfam family: Bacterial small subunit ribosomal RNA
Source: RNAcentral